RNAcentral lists this ribosomal RNA (440 nucleotides) under uncultured bacterium. Its description in RNAcentral is "partial 16S ribosomal RNA". It matches the Rfam family "Bacterial small subunit ribosomal RNA", at positions 338 to 795 of the family's 1533-position model. The record is from RNAcentral.
CCUACGGGAGGCUGCAGUGGGGGAUAUUGCACAAUGGAGGGAACCCUGAUGCAGCGACGCCGCGUGGAUGAAGAAGCGCCUCGGCGCGUAAAGCUCUGUCAACAGGGAAGAAAAUUACGGUACCUGAAGAAGAAGCCCUGGCUAACUACGUGCCAGCUGCCGCGGUACUGCGUAGGGGGCAAGCGUUAUCCGGAUUUACUGGGUGUAAAGGGGGCGUAGUCGGCGAUGCAAGCCAGUAGUGAAAGCCCGGGGCCCAACCCCGGGACUGCUGUUGUAACUGCGUGGCUGGAGUGCAGGAGGGGCAGGCGGAAUUCGUGGUGUAGCGGUGAAAUGCGUAGAUAUCAGGAAGAACACCGGUGGCGAAGGCAGCUUGCUGGACUGUAACUGACGUUGAGGCCCGAAAGCGUGGGGAGCAAACAGGAUUAGAUACCCGUGUAGUC